GCCCACAGAGCCCACAGAGCCCACAGAGCCCACAGAGCCCACAGAGCCAAGACACACUGAAACAGGACAGAAACAUGAGGACUCUCUCCUUUAUUCUGGUACUCAGUCUAUCCCUUUCCUCAGUCGAUGCACUGAUAUGCUAUUCGUGCCGUUCAACCGCCUCCAAUGCAGAGUGUAAUCAGACAAACGAAACAUGCCUGGCUGCUCAGGAUACGUGUAUGACCACCGAGGAAAGUGCUGGAGAUAAGAAAAGCCUGAUGAAACAGUGUACCAGUUUGGCUGACUGUGAGAGAGUUCAGCACAAUGCUGGUUCGGAUCCCCCGGAAAAGGCAACCAGGUGACCUGCUGUAGGUCUGAUCUGUGUAACAGUGGAGCUACUACCAUCCACACCCACACAGCUCUCCUGCUUCUGCCAAUAGGUGUCCUUUCUCUCCUCAGCAAAUAUUACAGAUAGACCUAAAUGUUCUAAUGUAAUAUUAAGUGAGAGCUAACCGGAACAUGCACAUACUGUAUGUAUGCAGAAUGUAACCAGGAUGUAUUUGAAAUGGGACUAUAAUUGCGCUACAACGUAUUAAUGGAGUUUUUUCACUUGUACUUAUUAGAAAUCAACUGUACUUUAAAUAAAGAUGAAAUAAUGAAGAGACUGUAAGGUUAAAUUAUUACCAUUAAAUGAUUUAUCUGUAUCUCUGUUGCAUUGUCAUGACUAAAUAUGAAAUGAUUUAUCUGCAUCUCUGUUACAUUGUCAUGACUAAAUAUGAAAUGAUUUAUCUGCAUCUCUGUUGCA
Molecule: long non-coding RNA, 784 nt
Organism: Oncorhynchus gorbuscha (pink salmon)
Lineage: Eukaryota; Metazoa; Chordata; Actinopteri; Salmoniformes; Salmonidae
Exons: 3
Source: RefSeq, a predicted model, not a curated record